RNAcentral lists this unclassified non-coding RNA (348 nucleotides) under plant metagenome. RNAcentral's name for it is "partial contains 5.8S ribosomal RNA, internal transcribed spacer 2, and large subunit ribosomal RNA". The stretch from base 1 to 105 matches the Rfam family "5.8S ribosomal RNA", at positions 50 to 154 of the family's 154-position model. The record is from RNAcentral.
GAAAUGCGAUAAGUAAUGUGAAUUGCAGAAUUCAGUGAAUCAUCGAAUCUUUGAACGCACCUUGCGCUCCUUGGUAUUCCGAGGAGCAUGCCUGUUUGAGUGUCAUUAAAUUCUCAAUCUCUACAGCUUUGUGUUGUUUAGAUUGGAAGUGGAGGCUUGUGUGGAAUUCAAUUCCUCACUCCUCUUAAAUGCAUUAGCUGGAAUGCCUCUGCAUGUCUGACUAUCAGUGUGAUAAUUAUCUAUGCUGUAGUUGUUGCAUGAGGGUAUCUGCUUCAUAAAUCGUCGCAAGACAAUUCUUUAUGACCAUCUUGACCUCAAAUCAGGUAGGACUACCCGCUGAACUUAAGC